RNAcentral lists this long non-coding RNA (209 nucleotides) under Phoenix dactylifera (date palm). RNAcentral's name for it is "long non-coding RNA (PDAC_LNC010599)". Lineage: Eukaryota; Viridiplantae; Streptophyta; Magnoliopsida; Arecales; Arecaceae. The record is from RNAcentral.
AAGAAAGCUUCAUGACACCAUUCCUACAAUUGAUCAAUGCAUUAGAAGUUGCAAGGAAUGGACGUCCUAAGAUGACCGGAAUCUGAGUUGGUGAAUUGGAAGCCGGAUGUGUGUCCAGUACGAUAAAGUCAACAGGAAAAUAGAACUUGUCUACUUGGACCAACACAUCUUCGAUAAUCCCUCUAGGAACCUUCACUGACCUGUCAGCU